This 468-nucleotide ribosomal RNA is filed under the name uncultured bacterium. Its description in RNAcentral is "partial 16S ribosomal RNA". It matches the Rfam family "Bacterial small subunit ribosomal RNA", at positions 28 to 507 of the family's 1533-position model. The record is from RNAcentral.
GACGAACGCUGGCGGCGUGCUUAACACAUGCAAGUCGAACGGAAAGUCCCUGCUGUUGUGGGGUGCUCGAGUGGCGAACGGGUGAGUAACACGUGAGUAACCUGCCCUUGACUUUGGGAUAACUUCAGGAAACUGGGGCUAAUACCGGAUAGGAGCUCCUGCUGCAUGGUGUGGGUUGGAAAGUUUCGGCGGUUGGGGAUGGACUCGCGGCUUAUCAGCUUGUUGGUGGGGUAGUGGCUUACCAAGGCUUUGACGGGUAGCCGGCCUGAGAGGGUGACCGGCAACAUUGGGACUGAGAUACGGCCCAGACUCCUACGGGAGGCAGCAGUGGGGAAUAUUGCACAAUGGGCGGAAGCCUGAUGCAGCAACGCCGCGUGCGGGAUGACGGCCUUCGGGUUGUAAACCGCUUUCGCCUGUGACGAAGCGUGAGUGACGGUAAUGGGUAAAGAAGCACCGGCUAACUACGUG